AUGCAUGUGUAAGUUGAACAUCUUGAAUAGUGAAACCGCGAAUGGCUCAUUAAAUCAGUUAUAAUCUACUUGGUUGUCAUAACACAAGGAUAACUGCGGUAACUCUGCAGCUAAUACUUGCAAAUUGCGUAUCACCUAUAUGGGAUUCGUUACUUUUAUUAGAGAAACCUGCGACGGGUCAGCUACCGCGUAUUCACGUGGAGAGCUCUGAAUAACUGAAGGAUGCCUAUAGCUUUAUGCUGGGCACGAACCAUCCGAGUAUCUGACCUAUCAACUUCUGACGGUAGUGUAACGGACUACCGUGGUUGUAACGGGUAACGGGGAAUCAGGGUUCGAUUCCGGAGAGGGAGCCUGAGAAACGGCUACCACACCCACGGGAGGCAGCAGGCGCGCAAAUUACCCAAUCUCAGCACGAGGAGGUAGUGACGAAAAAUAACAAUAUGAGCCCUUACGGGUUUGUGAUUGGAAUGAGAGAAAUUUAACAACUUUCAUUCGAGGAUCUAGUGGAGGGCAAGUCUGGUGCCAGCAGCCGCGGUAAUACCAGCAUCCACAAGCGUAUGCAAAAGUUGCUGCGUUUAAAAAGCUCGUAGUUGGAUCUGUCGAUGGUGUUGCGCUAACCGCCAGGUUCGUUUGAGUGUGCGGGUGACACCAUCUUCUUCCCGUUGAGAGUGUUUGCACUUAAUUGUGUUGAAUAUUCGAGACGGAUAAUUAAUUUGAAUAAACUAGAGUGUUCAAAGCGACCUUUGGGAAAGCAUAAUAAAGCAUGUGAUAGAGGAGGAAGACCCACCGUUGUUCGGAAGGGUUUGCAACGGCUGGUAAUGAUUGAAAGGAACAGUCGGGGGCAUUUGUAUUGCUACGUUAGAGGUGAAAUUCUUGGAUCGUGGCAAGACAAACUACAGCGAAAGCAUCUGCCAAGAAUGUUUUCAUUAAUCAAGAACGAAAGUUAGAGUAUUGAAGAGGAUUAGAUACCCUCGUAAUUCUAACCAUAAACGAUACCAACUUACGAUUUGUCAAAGUCCUGUUUGACUUGGCAAGGAGUUAUCCGGGAAACCAAAGUUCAUUGGCUCCGGGGGAAGUAUGGUUGCAAAAUCGAAACUUAAAGGAAUUGACGGAAGGGCACCACCAGGAGUGGAGCCUGCGGCUUAAUUUGACUCAACACGGGGAAACUUACCAGGUCCAGACAUCGUAAGGAUUGACAGAUUGAAUAUCUUUCAUGAUUCUAUGGGUGGUGGUGCAUGGCCGUUCUUAGUUAGUGGAGUGAUCUGUCUGGUUAAUUCCGAUAACGAACGAGAUCCUAACCAUUUAACUAGCUAAUGUCACUUGAAAUGUGACUUGAAAGCUUCUUAGAGGAACAAUGCGGAAAAAAUACCGCAGGGAAGUGGGGCUAUAACAGGUCUGUGAUGCCCUUAGAUGUCCUGGGCUGCACGCGCGCUACACUGGUAGCUACGAAUUGAAUGUUUGCCUUGUCCGAAAUGGUCCGGGUAAUCACCCAAAAGCUUGUCAUAAUUGGGAUAGACUAUUGCAACUAGUAGUCUUGAACGAGGAAUUCCUAGUAAGUUUCAGUCAACAGCUGGAACUGAUUACGUCCCUGCCCUUUGUACACACCGCCCGUCGCUACUACUGAUUGGACGUUUAAGCAAGAUUUUUAAACACUGACAGUUAAUGGCUUCGGCCUAAACACAGUGAGGAGAAGAAGAUCGAGCUUACUUGUCUA
RNAcentral lists this ribosomal RNA (1714 nucleotides) under Philactinoposthia viridorhabditis. Its description in RNAcentral is "SSU rRNA". It matches the Rfam family "Eukaryotic small subunit ribosomal RNA". The record is from RNAcentral. Lineage: Eukaryota; Metazoa; Xenacoelomorpha; Acoela; Childiidae.